GACACAGGGAUCAGGAGAAAAGGAGAGGAGGAGACACAGGGAGGAGGAGAGGAGGAGAUACAGGGAGGAAGAGAAAAGGAGAGGAGGAGACACAGGGAGCAGGAGAAAAGGAGAGGAGAAGACACAGGGUGUGAAGGCAGACAGGUAGUCGAAGUCUGCGUCCCCGAGCUCGAGCACGUCUCUGCGCGCGAACACCGCGGCGGCAAAACAAGACAGCAGCGUGAAGGUGAGGGCGGGAAGGAGGCGGACAGCGGCCGCCAUGAUGGAGAGAAACGAUGAAUGAUUUUAGAUGGAGAGGGAGAAAUAUGAAGCAGACCGUCCGGACCGUCCGGGAGGGCGGAAGACAUACAACUGUUUCCGGUCAUAGAUUACAAAAUAAAGUCCGCAUCCAACAGA
Molecule: long non-coding RNA, 396 nt
Organism: Acanthopagrus latus (yellowfin seabream)
Lineage: Eukaryota; Metazoa; Chordata; Actinopteri; Spariformes; Sparidae
Exons: 2
Source: RefSeq, a predicted model, not a curated record